Molecule: ribosomal RNA, 470 nt
Filed under: Typhlonesticus idriacus
Lineage: Eukaryota; Metazoa; Arthropoda; Arachnida; Araneae; Nesticidae
Description: partial 16S ribosomal RNA
Rfam family: Bacterial large subunit ribosomal RNA
Source: RNAcentral
CAAAAACAUUUCUUAAUGAAAUUAUAUUAAGUACAGCCUGCUCCAUGUAAAAUAAAUAGCCGCAGAAUAUUCACUGUGCUAAGGUAGCAUAAUCAUUAGCCUCCUAAUUUGAGACUAGAAUGAAAGGCUAAACAAUUAAAUAACUUUUUUUAAUAAUAAUUUCAACUUAUAAUAAGUAUAAAAAUAUACUUAUUAAUAUAAAAGACGACAAGACCCUAUCGAACUUAACUGAAGUUAAGCUGGGGAAGCCUAUCAAAAAUAAUUUUAAUAUAAAUAAUUUAUUGCCCACCCAAUCCAAUUGAAUUAAUAUCAAGUUACCGUAGGGAUAACAGCGUAAUAUUUCUCAAAAGCUCCUAUUAAAAGAAAAGUUUACGACCUCGAUGUUGAAUUAAUUUUACUUAUUAACGCAAUAGUUAAAAAAGUAGGUCUGUUCGACCAUUAAAAAAUUACAUGAUCUGAGUCAAAACCGG